AAGUCGUAACAAGGUUUCCGUAGGUGAACCUGCGGAAGGAUCAUUCUUGUAUCACUGUGUAUGUGUGUAUCUCUUUUGUACACAUACUCUCUGUAGAAUAUCAUUUCUGUGAUAUUUUAUUUAUUAACUAUGUGAAAUGUGCCAGUCUAUGUUUGCUUUGCGAUGAACUAGUGUGUGUGAAGCAAUGUGUUUCUGUCAGCUCGCUGUCUCAUCGUCUGCACGCACUCUUUCGGGGGUGUAUUGCUGCGGUAAAUGUACAGCUUGUUGACAGUUGCACAUUAUUCAGAUGUUUAAUAUCUGAUUCCACGCAUUGUCGCAAGCAGACGUAGGCAAUCCAUUUAGAUUUUAUUUCUUCACUACAACAACUACCUACUGUCAAAGUCAGAAAUAAUUAAAAAAUUUAUGACAACUUUUAGCAACGGAUCUCUAGGCUCUC
RNAcentral lists this unclassified non-coding RNA (436 nucleotides) under fungal sp. Its description in RNAcentral is "partial internal transcribed spacer region". The stretch from base 1 to 46 matches the Rfam family "Eukaryotic small subunit ribosomal RNA", at positions 1786 to 1831 of the family's 1831-position model. Lineage: Eukaryota; Fungi. The record is from RNAcentral.